CUGUGGUGAGGUAGUAAGUUGUGUUGUUGUGGGGUGUGGGAUAUUAUGGCCCCUAUUUUGGAGAUACAACUAUACAACUUACUGCCUUCCACAA
Molecule: non-coding RNA, 94 nt
Organism: Xyrichtys novacula (pearly razorfish)
Lineage: Eukaryota; Metazoa; Chordata; Actinopteri; Labriformes; Labridae
Source: the annotation of a GenBank genome assembly